This 399-nucleotide ribosomal RNA is filed under the name Triticum aestivum (bread wheat). RNAcentral's name for it is "partial small subunit ribosomal RNA". Lineage: Eukaryota; Viridiplantae; Streptophyta; Magnoliopsida; Poales; Poaceae. The record is from RNAcentral.
AUGUCUCGAGCCGGUACUGAAACUUUGCUGAAAUCAAAGACACAGGCUAUCCCAACCUUCAUCUCUAGCUGCUUCCGUCUGCCCGUGGCUAUCUGUGAGAAGUUCAGGCAAAUUGUAUCUGAUCAAUGGUGGGGCCGUGAGGAUGGAAAAAAGAAAAUGCAUUGGCGGUCCUGGGAGUGGCUCUCUACUCCGAAGUCCCUCGGGGGCAUGGGCUUCAAGGAUUUGGCGCUCUUCAACCAAGAUAUGUUGGGCAAACAAGGAUGGAGGCUUCUGACUGACCCUGAUUCUUUGUGUGCUCGAGUUCUAAAGGGAAGGUAUUUUCCUUUUGGUGAUUUUUGGAAUGCUUCUGCUCCCAGUUCUGCCUCGGCUACUUGGCGUGCUAUUUUGCAUGGGAGGGAC